CAGAAACAGCUCUUUCCAUGUGAAACGUUGUGCCAGGUGUGCCCAGAGCACCCAAAACUUGAUGAGGCUGUUCUAGUUACCAAUAAAGCGAGGAUUGUCAGCAUGAUGGGAGUGAUUGAGAAUGUUUCAACACACCAUAGAUCGUGUCCUCAGUGCCACAUGGUUUACAGAUACCAGGAGUGGACAGAUGGGCUUCAUAACUUUGACAACCACGUUGUUUUGUCUCUUGAACUCUGCCUUUUUUUUGAGAGAAAAUCUGCAGAACCAUGUAUCCACUUCAAGGGUCAUUGACUCAUUGGAGGGCUUAAGAAGAGUGAAGUUUCCUUCUAGGGAUACCAUUUUUCAUGCUUAUUGCCAUUUUGAGGCUUUGACUGACACAGACUACAUGUACUCCUGCAUAAACUGUGGGUUUCACCCCCCUGUGGUAGUUAUGGACUUACACAGAAAAGGGGUGUUCAAGUUAGCAGUGAGUGACCUCAAAGCCCGGA
Long non-coding RNA from Oreochromis aureus, 488 nucleotides. RefSeq lists it as uncharacterized. NCBI's taxonomy places the organism in Eukaryota, Metazoa, Chordata, Actinopteri, Cichliformes, Cichlidae. The transcript is spliced from 4 exons. The record is from RefSeq and is a predicted model, not a curated record.